AAGUGAAAAUCCAUAUUCGCCUACUUCUGUUCUUCGUCCGCAACUGCUCAAAUCUCUGUGAAUGUUUUCUUCCCAAAAAUCUGUUCUUCAGUACCUCAAAAAUGGCUUACGAAAUUCAAUUUCAUCAAAGAUCGCCAACUCGAUAAAUUGGAAGUCACAAAACAUACGGUGAUGGACCAGUUGAUUAUGUCAUGGAAGGAGAAUUUUGGUGGACACAUCAAAGAUUUCUAUUUCCGGGGUAAAGCGAAGAGUGUUAGACAAGCCUAUGGAAGCUGCUGGGAUUGCGGACAAUAUGGAAGAGAUUGAAUAUAUGAUUCCAAGGAAGGAACCCAUGGCUUAUAGCAUCCAAGAUAUGUUACAUUCAAAGAUGUACAGGGAGCAGAGACUGCUCUUCUUUCUUCCUUGUCCAUUGCAGGCAUGCCUAAUCUUUGAUGAUUAUCCUCAAGUCUUCUGUAAGUAGUAUUUUGGGUUUGAAUUUUCAUAAAGUUAUGGAAUUGGAUAUUUGUGUAGUUCGGUUACAAGGUUGUUCAAGUCUGCGUACAUUCUAAUAAAUGUUAGAUGACUGCAAGCCUUGAAGUGGGUAAUAUGCGCCUAUAUGUCAAAUCCUCAUAUCUUGGUGAGUACUUGAGUUAAGAAGUUAUCCUUCUAUAUGGGUUGUAUAGUUGAUUCUUCCCCCUAUCAACUUUAAAUGCAUUUACAUUAUUGGUGUUGUGGCUUAAUAUUGAUUUAAGGCACUUGCUUGGUUUCGUGAACAUCCAAAAAUGUUCGUGUAUAUAGAAUAUAGUCUUUAAAUUAGAAAGUAAUGUCAAGUAAAUAUAAUCAAUAGUUUAGUGACAGCUUUAUGGUAAGUGUGGAGAUGUAUAAUUGAGUUCCGGGAAUUUGAGGAAAAGGAAUAGAAAGAAUACAUUGAGUUGGAUGUUUGAAAUUGAGUCUUCCUACCUAACUUUUAAGACCCACAAGUCCACAAGAGCUGAUGAGUUUAUCUACAGAAGAUGGUGAUAUAGCCAUCCUGAUCAUAUCGAAAUGCUCAAUUACAUAUUUGUUGCUCGAAGGCACAAACUUUGCAGGUUACUAUUUAACAACCAAAAUAUCUCAAUUACAUUCAGUCAUUCUUUCUCUUUUUGAUGUUAAUAUGAAUAUUGUGAUCUUUUUCAAGCUUCUACAAGUUGUCGAUCGCCCCUUAUUCCCAAGUCUGUUUCUUACUACCAUACUUCUUUGUUAUUCAGAUUUAAAUAGCAUUUCUAGGAACUCCUAAAUUUAAGACAGAAGCAACAAGGUGGAUGGUAUAAAAAGACAAGCGAAUGAUAAAAACAGUGACUCUGAAUCAGAUGAAGAAUAUCCAUUUACCAGUAAGUAUAAUUAUCUUACCAGCACUAAUAUCAGAAAUAGAGAUUUAAAAUAAGGAAUCAAAAGCAAUUGACAAUGCUUUGUUCUGGAGUUCUCAGCUUUAUGUUACAGUUGAGAUAUGAUCAAGACUCUAAGAAAAUUCUAAGAAAAUGAUACUCUUAUUCUGAUCCAACAAAGGUACGUUCUGCCAAUCUUUAUUAACAAAUAUUCAGUCUGUAUUCGUUGAGAUUUAUUUAUUUUUCUUUCUUUGAUUUGGUUUGAUUAGGCAUUUGAGGAACGCAAUAUGGAGAAUGAAGUAACUAAUUGAGUUUAUCAACAAGGAGUUUGAUAAGAAACAUGGUCUUACUUGGCAAUGGCAUGUACUGACCCAGGUUACAAUUUUGGCAAUGGUAUUCUUCUCCUUUAUCUCCAAAAAAUUUGUGUUUUCUCUGUUCUCUGUCUUAGGAUUCUAUGACCGUUUCAGCAUAUUUGGAUUGCUUAAAGGUGUGUUACGGCCACACUUAGUUAGGCAAGUCUUUUUGAUUCUACGUGUAGUUGUGAUAGGUUUACUCCCUCCACGAAUGACUUCCAUUUCUCAGGUCAAUACACUUGGACUUUAUUAUGGCAUAUUUGUACCAGAUUAACGCUACAUCUUGCCCUUCUCUAUCUAUUUAUGACACAUGCUAACACAGGUUUAAGUCAUAGCAACUGGUCCGUUCUUAUUGAUUGGGAAGAGGGACGAACCCGAAUCCAAGGAAAAGGGUAUUUUAGCUAAGCCAGAUGAGGAAAAAACAAGUGCCUGCUUCUUGGUGUUGUUUUAGUUAAGCUUCAAACUGAGUCUGCUUCACCACAUACCCUCUAUCCACUGAAGUUUAUCGAUUUUGAACAACUCCCUGGGCCAUCCAAGAUCAUGAAGCUGUGUGAUUCUUGCAGCGGUUUGGAAAAAAUGAAGGAGCAGUGAUUGACCACAGUAAUGGUUGGAAUGUGAUAUCAAAAAACACAUACACGGAUAUAGGGGCUUUGAGUAUUCUUACGAUAUUUGGACCCAACUGUAUAUCUCUUUGGUAGCUGCAGAAUUUAGUUUCUCUUAUUCUUCAACUGUUUUUGGAUGUUCUACUGGUUGCAGACACAACCUUACGCUAAGAAAAUCAUGCUUCGACUAUUUAUGACGAUUAGGUGAGUGAACAAUAAAUACUAUAUUAUUAAUACAUA
Molecule: long non-coding RNA, 2538 nt
Organism: Papaver somniferum (opium poppy)
Lineage: Eukaryota; Viridiplantae; Streptophyta; Magnoliopsida; Ranunculales; Papaveraceae
Exons: 4
Source: RefSeq, a predicted model, not a curated record